UACGGAGGGUGCAAGCGUUAUCCGGAUUCACUGGGUUUAAAGGGUGCGUAGGUGGCUUUGUAAGUCAGUGGUGAAAUCUUAGAGCUUAACUCUAAAACUGCCAUUGAUACUGCUUAGCUUGAAUCAAGUCGAGGUGGAUGGAAUAUUACAUGUAGCGGUGAAAUGCUUAGAUAUGUAAUAGAACACCAAUUGCGAAGGCAGCUUACUACACAACGAUUGACGCUGAGGCACGAAAGCGUGGGGAUCGAACAGG
RNAcentral lists this ribosomal RNA (253 nucleotides) under uncultured bacterium. Its description in RNAcentral is "partial 16S ribosomal RNA". It matches the Rfam family "Bacterial small subunit ribosomal RNA", at positions 524 to 776 of the family's 1533-position model. The record is from RNAcentral.